Molecule: ribosomal RNA, 290 nt
Filed under: Rhizophagus irregularis
Lineage: Eukaryota; Fungi; Glomeromycota; Glomeromycetes; Glomerales; Glomeraceae
Description: partial 18S ribosomal RNA
Rfam family: Eukaryotic small subunit ribosomal RNA
Source: RNAcentral
UGGGUAAUCUUUUGAAACUUCAUCGUGCUGGGGAUAGAGCAUUGCAACUAUUGCUCUUGAACGAGGAAUCCCUAGUAAGUACAAGUCACUAGCUUGUGCUGAUUACGUCCCUGCCCUUUGUACACACCGCCCGUCGCUACUACCGAUUGAAUGGCUUAGUGAGGCCCUCGGAUUGAGGCUCGGAGACUGGAAACAGACUCUUGGUUUUGAAAAGUUGGUCAAACUUGGUCAUUUAGAGGAAGUAAAAGUCGUAACAAGGUUUCCGUAGGUGAACCUGCGGAAGGAUCAUU